Molecule: ribosomal RNA, 451 nt
Filed under: uncultured bacterium
Lineage: Bacteria
Description: bacterial SSU rRNA
Rfam family: Bacterial small subunit ribosomal RNA
Source: RNAcentral
GUCGAGAAUCUUUAGCAAUGGGGGAAACCCUGACUAUGCGACGCCGCGUGAGGGAUGAAGGCCUUCGGGUCGUAAACCUCUUUCGGUUGGGAAGAAUUUCUCUGGUAUUAAUAUGACCAGAGAUUGACGUUACUAAAAGAAGAAGCCACGGCCAACUCCGUGCCAGCAGCCGCGGUAAUACGGAGGUGGCGAGCGUUACUCGGAUUCAUUGGGUGUAAAGGGCAGGUAGGUGUCCUGUAAAGUGGGGAGUGAAAUCCUUCGGCUUAAUCGAAGAAUUGCUUUCCAAACUAACAGGAUUGAGUGUGAGAGAGGAAAGCGGAACUCUCGGUGUAAGGGUGAAAUCUGUAGAUAUCGAGAGGAACACCAGUAGCGAAGGCGGCUUUCUGGAUCACAACUGACACUGAGCUGCGAAAGCUAGGGGAGCAAACAGGAUUAGAAACCCGGGUAGUCC